GGCCAGGUGCUUCGAGGGAAUGAACAGAACAGGUAUAGCUAAGCAGGACUCAAGUUUCACUAUAUAAACUGGGGUCCAAGAAGGAGAUCAGCAAAAGAAAACGAAGAAGGAAAGACCUGGAAGAAGAACUCACCUCUAAGACACAGCCUAAGAUCAGAGCUGCUAAGAAUCCUCUGCACAACCAUGAUGUGCAGCAACCAGAAGCCAGACGAGACCAACCUUGCCUGGCCAACAGGGAAAGUCAGCCUCCAUGAUCAGGAUUGUCCCUGGCUUGUCAGAGGAUGGGAAUGUUUCAGAGACAACAUACUCAGCCACUCAGGAUAUGGCUACACUGAAGCUGGAAGUGAGCCUUCCAGCCUGGACAGACAGACUUGUGAUAGCAGAACUACUGCUAGCAUGCUAAAAAUAGCUGUAUUAACAUUGCAGUCUAAGCUUGGAUAGCUUGAAAGCUUGUCUCUUUUAACAACAAAAGUUGGUCCAAUAAAAGAUAUUAACUCACACACCUGGUGUGUCUAAUAAUUUGGGACUAACAUGGCUACAACAACACUAGCA
Long non-coding RNA from Malaclemys terrapin pileata, 552 nucleotides. RefSeq lists it as uncharacterized. The record is from RefSeq and is a predicted model, not a curated record. The transcript is spliced from 3 exons. NCBI's taxonomy places the organism in Eukaryota, Metazoa, Chordata, Testudines, Emydidae.